GGGAGGGGCCCUGGCUCCUUCGCACCUGGAGUGGCCCCUUAACUCCGAAGCUGGAACUAGUGAGAGAGACUGUGAGCAGGUGACCAGGCUUGCUGGGUCUUCGGUGGAGGCCAUUCCCUUAAGGGGCGGAACUCCAACCGAAGCAAAAAGGACUGUGGUCUGACACCGGUUGGGUCCCCAGCCAGAGGACUCUAACAGCGGGAAGAUGAAAGAGACUCCACCUGGACAGAUGCCCCCCAUCCCGGGGCCUGAGCCUCACAGGUUUAAAGAGAUUUAAACGUGGCACUGAAAUCAUCUGAUUUACACCUGCCUGCUCUGUAGGGGCGGAUGACCACCAGGUAAGAGCGGAUUCAGAGGGGCCUGGUAGGAGGCGGUGGUAUAACCCAGGCUAGGGAUGCUGAGGCUUGAACAAGGCUGGUGGCCAUGCAGAUUGUGUGAAGCAGGCCUGCUGGGGACCUGUUCUGGAGGUGAAAGUGGCAGGACUUUCUGAAGGAUCAGAUGUGAUGGGUGAGAGAGGCGAGGAAUUGAGGAGGACUUCCAGGUUUCUAGCCUGGUGGGUUGAAGAUGGCCGCAAAAUCUCAGCUGCUUAAAAAAAACUCUGGUGUUCGCCUUCUCGGAGUUCAGGCAGGCUCAGGGACAGCUUGGCCGAUGAGACCUACAGUGGCCUAUGCUGGUUUCCAGCUCAGACUGGAAAAGCAGGAGGUGGACAGAGCCUGGGACACUCCUCUGUCAGAAGUUCGGCUGAGAGGAGGGAACAGUACAGUAGACUGAGCAGUCUGGGAGGAAGAAGGGGGACCAGGUGAGAGAAGGGCCAGGAAGCCAAGAGAAGAGAGUGUUUUAAGAAAGAGGGGUAGUUGCCUGUGUGGAAUGCUGCCCAGAGGUUGAGUAAGCCGAGGACAGAGAUGUGUCCACUAGAUUUGGCAGCAAGGACAUCAGGGCAACCUUGAUGGUGUAGUCUUAGUGGAAGAAUGAGGACGGAAGCUGACUGGUAUGGGUGGAACAGCAAAUAGGAGCCAAUGAACGAGAGAGAACAACCAUUGGCAACUUUUUAGAAAGUCUUAAUGCAAAGGGAAGCAGAGAGAUGGUGCUUUAGCUAGAAGGAAAUAGGGUCAAGGGAGAGUUUUGUCCAAAUAUGAAGAAUAUAAUAACAUGUCCCCGUGCUGAUGGCCAGGAAUUGGGGAGGAACUGACGGUACAGAGAGAGAGGAGAUUACCCAGGAUCAAAGUUCUUGACAAAGUAAGAGGGAGGGGACCCAGAGCACAGGAGGACAGAGCUGGCCUUUGAUAGGGGCAGGGAUAGUUGUCUGGGAGGCAGAGGAAGAGGAGGUGGAUUUGUAGAACUAGCCAUGCAAAGCUCAGGGAAACUCCUCGGAUGGUUUCUCGUAUUUUCCUAUGGACUGGAAGCAAGUUACAGCCAAAGCGAGACAGGAAAAGAGGAGGGGAGGCAGAACCCAGGAUUAGAUAUGAAAUAGUUAUCACAACCAAGCCCACUAGAGAAACAGAGUAGGAUUUCCGGCAGUGCAGAGCGACCAUUCGAAGUUGCUGACCGUGAAUUUGUAACGACCCUGGCCUGCCAGGCUAUUUGAUAGUGUGUUUUCUGCCCCACAAUGGCGUGUGCCAAGCAUGGGCCUUUCCCAGGUAAUCCAAUUAUCUCCAUUGACAGCUGAGCCAGUCAAGACUUAGAAAGACUUCCUGGCUUGCCCAAGGUCGCACAGCUGGUAGGGGCAGAGCAGGACCUUGGGCCCAACCCCUGAACGCCUCUGCAGAGGCCAAAGCUGUCCAAGGUCUAAGUAGACUAUCAUACUUGGUAGCGUUCGUGGUCGCCCGUUGUGGAUGCAAGCGAGGAAACGCAGAAAAGAGAAACACAGCUUUCCCUUUCCUGUAAUAGUUCUGUAUGUUGGUGCUUGGGGCCAGUUGUGUACAAAGGGCCCUGAGGGCUGCUUCUCUGUAAAGCGUAUUUGCUGAAUAACCACACCAUUUCUCCAUCUCUAGCAAUAGCUAAAUUGCUAGCUUCUUUCAACCCUGGUCCAGGAGUGCUGAGACAUUUGGGGUUAACGGCUCCUCCCCAUCUCUUAACUAUCUGCCCUUCUUCGAUUCAGUGUUACUUUCACUUAGAGAGCUCUCCCAGGAACGCUACGCUUGGUGUUAUCACCAGCAAACAUCUUAGAAAGCUGGUCUUCCGAUGCCUGUUUACAGAAAUAUUUCCACACCUUGCUUGUGUUUCCAGGAAUUCCUCAUCUUCCUGGCCAGGAAUAUUAAUAGACAGGUCUUGAAAAGUGCAAGAGGCUUUUUCUGUGGCUGCAAGCACAUUGAACACUUUUUCCUUUUAACCCCUAAGCAGUAAGUAAUGAAGUCCCAAAGGUUGGGUAAAAACCAAUCUGAUAGAAAGAGUCACUUUUAAAAACUACAUCCUCAGGGGGAAAAACUGUGAUGUGACCUUAGUGGUUCUAAUGGGUUAAAUGGAGCCCCCACCCCCACCCCCAUCAUAUCCAAGUCCUGACCUAAGACCUAGACCUGUGACUAUGACCUUAUUUGGAAAAAGAGUCUUUGCAGAGAAAUUAAGGAUCUUGAGAUGAGGUCAUCCUGGAUAUAGGGGAGUGAGGGUGGGGUGCUAAAUCCACUGACAAGUGUCCUUAUAAGAGACACACAGAUGCAUUGGAGGUGGCAGUGUGACCAAGGAUGCAAAGAUUAGAGUGAUGUGGCCACAAGUCCACAAGUCAAGGAACACCUGAAGCACCAGAAGCUGGAGUAGACAAGAAGCAGUCUCCCCUAGAGCCUCCAGAGACAGAAUGACACCUUGAUUUUGAACUUCUGGCCUCCAGAACUGUGAGAAAAUACAUUUCCAUUUUAAGCAGCCAAAUUUGUGGCAUUUGUUACAGCAGCCAUAGGAAGCUAACGCAGUGGUCCCCCUUUUCUAGACUCUGGGAGGCCUGAGAUCUGUGUGUCAAUCAGUGUGCCAAGUUCAAGGCUGUAUGCGGAUGGAGCCAGCACCAAGCAGCUUGUGUUGGCAGAAGCAGAACAAACUGGCUCAGACAAAUCGACUUAUCACAAAAUGGUUCAAGCUCUCAUCGGCAGUGACAGAACAUACAUUAAGGAUCAGAGCACAGACUCAGUGGCCGGAUGGAGUAGGUUCAAAUCCUGGCUCCACCUCUCAGUGACUCGCAAGUUUCUUAUACUCUCUGGGCCUCAGUUUCUCCACAGGUUCCAAUGAGGACACCGAUAACAGCCCCACCUGAGGGGUGAUUGUCAGACUUGAUCAAUGUAAAGCCCCUGGACUUGACCAUGCUGACAUAUCACAAGUGCGAGAUGAGUGUCUGCUAUUAUUACAAUAACCCAAAUCAAAACAGGCACAAAUGAGCUCAGAAUAAUCGAAGAGAUGUAAAUAUGCUAAUGGACAGGAGGGCAGGGGGCAGGGCACAACCAUGAAAGGAAUGACACAGCAAUUGAAGAUUCAACUCCGGGGAGACCUUGAGGCCCAAGAUGGCGGGAGAUUUGACUCCCAGUAGACCUUGAGCUUCACUGAAAGCUCACUGUAAUACAUUGGCAUGAGAAAUGACACUCCACAGGCACCGUGACCGGUCUGAGGCUGGCCAUAAAAGGUCAAAAAGUGGGCAGUGGCCCAAUUCUUGGGCGUCCCUGCCCCUUCCCCAAAGUAGUUAGACUGAUCCUCCCACUUGUUAGCAUAUGAAGUUUCUAAGCCCAUGAAAACUAGCAACACUGCACCUUGUGGUCGCUCUCUCUUGCCUUCUGAGACGACCGGCAUGCUAUGGAGUGUGCAUCUCUCUGA
Long non-coding RNA from Camelus dromedarius (Arabian camel), 3786 nucleotides. RefSeq lists it as uncharacterized. Lineage: Eukaryota; Metazoa; Chordata; Mammalia; Artiodactyla; Camelidae. The record is from RefSeq and is a predicted model, not a curated record. The transcript is spliced from 3 exons.